AAAAUUGUUGCGGUUAAAACGUUCGAAGUUUAUUCUUGUCCAACACGGGUGCUACUCCUAAUGAUGGCAGUAGGUCACUGGAUUGUUGCGACUAUAAGACUGGGUGCGCCCGUCGGUCCUCGCGGCCGGCGCGGUCGUAGUGUGGCGCUGAUGCCUUUCAUCGGGUGCAGUGUUUUCCGCAAGCCCAGCUGCUAUUACCUUGAACAAAUUAGAGUGCUCUAAGCAGGCUAUCCUACGGCCGAGAAUAAUCUUGCAUGGAAUAAUGGAAUAUGACCUCGGUCUUAAUAUUCAUUGGUUUAAGAAAAAGCAAACCAUCAAUUGAACUUUAACACUCCACUCUUGCAAAACAAAAAAGAAAAUACUAAAAAUCACUAGUAAGGCGAGCAAAGGAGUUUAAAGGAUAUUUCCUCGCCUUACUAGUGAUGUUUAGUAUUUUUUUCUUUUGCAGGAGUGAAGCGAAGUGUUAAAGUUCAA
RNAcentral lists this ribosomal RNA (474 nucleotides) under Aedes aegypti (yellow fever mosquito). RNAcentral describes it as "rRNA AAEL028653". It matches the Rfam family "Eukaryotic small subunit ribosomal RNA", at positions 606 to 1008 of the family's 1831-position model. The record is from Rfam by way of RNAcentral. Lineage: Eukaryota; Metazoa; Arthropoda; Insecta; Diptera; Culicidae.